AUUGAUACUGAUCUAAAUUUUUUAGCUAGGUCCUACCUUCUGGAAAGCUAGCGUGUCCUUAAUUGGGUGCGUUUAGUGAUCCAGGACUUUUACUUUGAAAAAAUUAGAGUGUUUAAAGCAGGCUUUCAAGCUUGAAUACAUUAGCAUGGAAUAAUAGAACAGGACCUCAGUUCUGUUUCUGUUGGUUUCUCGGAACCGAGGUAAUGAUUAAUAGGGACAGUUGGGGGCAUUAGUACUGCAGUGUCAGAGGUGAAAUUCUUGGAUUUCUGCAAGACUAACUUAUGCGAAAGCAUUUGUCAAGGAUGUUUUCAUUAAUCAAGAACGAAAGUUAGGGGAUCGAAGACGAUUAGAUACCGUCGUAGUCUUAACCAUAAACUAUGCCGACUAGGGAUCGGACGGUGUUAUAUUUUUGACCCGUUCGGCACCUUACGAGAAAUCAUAAGUUUUUGGGUUCCGGGGGGAGUAUGGUCGCAAGGCUGAAACUUAAAGGAAUUGACGGAAGGGCACCACCAGGAGUGGAGCCUGCGGCUUAAUUUGACUCAACACGGGGAAACUCACCAGGUCCAGACACAUUAAGGAUUGACAGAUUGAGAGCUCUUUCUUGAUCAUGUGGGUGGUGGUGCAUGGGCCGUUCUUAGUUGGUGGAGUGAUUUGUCUGCUUAAUUGCGAUAACGAACGAGACCUUAACCUGCUAAAUAGCCCAGCCCGCUUCUGCGGGUUGCUGGCUUCUUAGAGGGACUAUCGG
This 745-nucleotide ribosomal RNA is filed under the name uncultured eukaryote. Its description in RNAcentral is "bacterial SSU rRNA". It matches the Rfam family "Eukaryotic small subunit ribosomal RNA", at positions 663 to 1426 of the family's 1831-position model. The record is from RNAcentral.